This 320-nucleotide long non-coding RNA is filed under the name Scleropages formosus (Asian bonytongue). RNAcentral's name for it is "lncRNA (ENSSFOG00015027268.1)". Lineage: Eukaryota; Metazoa; Chordata; Actinopteri; Osteoglossiformes; Osteoglossidae. The record is from RNAcentral.
GGAAUGAGCAGGAGUAUAGCUUGCAGCAGACAGAGAAGAACAGAUGGCUGGCCAUACUCUGCAUGGUGUCUCUCUGGUCAACUUUGAGUGUCACUACCUUCCCCAGAGAACAACAGCCAUUGCCAGCAGUUUGAGAAGCAUCUGUCAGAAGUUUGUUUGCAUCACUUUUCAAUUCCAAGCCACCUGUACAUUGGCUCAUCUGGGUCCCCCUGAGCCACAGCCUUUGUCCUGGACUGCCGUAAUGCGCAUCAUAUUCUGUGACAGUCAGUUCCACAGCACUGGUGAUAAAGAAUAAUAGAAGACCUGAAAGUAUAAAUUCC